This 253-nucleotide ribosomal RNA is filed under the name uncultured bacterium. RNAcentral describes it as "partial 16S ribosomal RNA". It matches the Rfam family "Bacterial small subunit ribosomal RNA", at positions 524 to 776 of the family's 1533-position model. The record is from RNAcentral.
GACGGAGGGUGCUAGCGUUGUUCGGAAUUACUGGGCGUAAAGGGCGCGUAGGCGGCCUGGUCAGUCGGAUGUGAAAGCCCGGGGCUCAACCCCGGAACGGCAUCCGAGACGGCCAGGCUGGAGACCGGGAGAGGAGAGUGGAAUAGCCAGUGUAGAGGUGAAAUUCGUAGAUAUUGGCUGGAACACCGGUGGCGAAGGCGGUGGUCUGGGCCGGAACUGACGCUGAGGAGCGAAAGCGUGGGGAGCGAACAGG